This 62-nucleotide transfer RNA is filed under the name Saemundssonia lari. RNAcentral describes it as "tRNA-Leu". Lineage: Eukaryota; Metazoa; Arthropoda; Insecta; Psocodea; Philopteridae. The record is from RNAcentral.
UCUCUUUUAGCAAAUUAGUGCAGCGAAUUUAGGAUUCGAAGAUGAGUUUACCUCAAAGAGGA